Molecule: ribosomal RNA, 570 nt
Filed under: uncultured bacterium
Lineage: Bacteria
Description: bacterial SSU rRNA
Rfam family: Bacterial small subunit ribosomal RNA
Source: RNAcentral
UACGGGAGGCAGCAGUAGGGAAUUUUCGGCAAUGGGGGAAACCCUGACCGAGCAACGCCGCGUGAAGGAAGAAGUAAUUCGUUAUGUAAACUUCUGUCAUAGAGGAAGAACGGUGGAUAUAGGGAAUGAUAUCCAAGUGACGGUACUCUAUAAGAAAGCCACGGCUAACUACGUGCCAGCAGCCGCGGUAAUACGUAGGUGGCGAGCGUUAUCCGGAAUUAUUGGGCGUAAAGAGGGAGCAGGCGGCACUAAGGGUCUGUGGUGAAAGAUCGAAGCUUAACUUCGGUAAGCCAUGGAAACCGUAGAGCUAGAGUGUGUGAGAGGAUCGUGGAAUUCCAUGUGUAGCGGUGAAAUGCGUAGAUAUAUGGAGGAACACCAGUGGCGAAGGCGACGAUCUGGCGCAUAACUGACGCUCAGUCCCGAAAGCGUGGGGAGCAAAUAGGAUUAGAUACCCUAGUAGUCCACGCCGUAAACGAUGAGUACUAAGUGUUGGGAGUCAAAUCUCAGUGCUGCAGUUAACGCAAUAAGUACUCCGCCUGAGUAGUACGUUCGCAAGAAUGAAACUCAAAG